Molecule: long non-coding RNA, 224 nt
Filed under: Actinidia chinensis (golden kiwifruit)
Lineage: Eukaryota; Viridiplantae; Streptophyta; Magnoliopsida; Ericales; Actinidiaceae
Description: long non-coding RNA (ACHI_LNC001365)
Source: RNAcentral
ACGGGCAAUUAUUAGUUAUACAAAUAAAGUGACACAUGGUAAUUUCUCUAUUUUUUUAAAAAAAUCAAAUAUUUCUAAUAAAACACGUGGCAGCACUCAUCUCCCCCGCUUCUCUUUUGCUCUGGAAAAUUUAAAAAGGAAACAAAAAGGCAAAGAAAAAAACCUAGGUUUCACGCUGCAAUCCCCAAAACGCAUUACCUUCGCCCAGCCCAUUCUCUCUCUCU